This 698-nucleotide long non-coding RNA is filed under the name Chrysolophus pictus (golden pheasant). RNAcentral's name for it is "lncRNA (ENSCPIG00010011387.1)". Lineage: Eukaryota; Metazoa; Chordata; Aves; Galliformes; Phasianidae. The record is from RNAcentral.
CAAGCACUUCAGAGUUCUCUUUGAAUUCUUUCUGAUCUCUGAAAAUCAUCCAAAAUGCAAAGAGUAACUACUGUUUGAGGUUAAAAUCCUAAUCUAGGAACAGUGGCAAAAUUUUGCAACUCAUGUAACUCCUCAUAAGUAGUUUCAAAAUCUUUUAGUGAAAACAAAAAGUAUGUGUGUUUGGAUGUUGUAACCAAUACUCAGAAGACAAUGAGAACAAGAUUGAGUGUCUGCUGUUGCAGUUGGGCUGAUUGACAGUCUAUUUAUUUCCUGAUUAUGAAUAAUGGACACAGCAAAACAGAACAAGCACAGCCAGUGCUAACUACAGAUUUGACAGCAACGAAGAUGUGGAACAAAACAUCUGGUUCUUCAGGGAAAAUGGAAGGCACCACAACCAUCUUCUCAUAGAAUCACCUAUACCAGCAUUUGGCACAGAAUAGGUAUGUACAUAUAUAAUACAUUUCUCCCUGAUCCCCCUUACUUACCACUGUGUUGAGCAGAACAGAGGAAGGCCUGCCAUGUGGUCACAAACUCUGGUGCAUCUGGCCAUGACCUGCCUUUCUAGUUUCCAUGCAGCAGCAUACAAACAUUUCUUUCUGUUAUGAAGUCCUUAGAAUUCCUCUGCUAUUGGGUAAAAUGACUAAGACAAAUCUUAAAUGAAGAAAAUUAGCUUUAUUUAUGUAAAUUAGAAAAAAUGA